CGCAUCUGUGCAUGCAGCAUAUCAAUAAGCGGAGGAAAAGAAACUAACAAGGAUUCCCCUAGUAACGGCGAGUGAAGCGGGAAGAGCUCAAAUUUGAAAUCUUAAAGGGUUUCCCUUUACGAAUUGUAGUUUAAAGAAGUGUUUUCUGUUGAGGUUUUGGUAAAAGUUCUUUGGAAUAGGACAUCAUAGAGGGUGAGAAUCCCGUAUUUGACCUUUACUUUCAACUUUGUGAUACACUUUCAAAGAGUCGGAUUGUUUGGGAAUGCAGUCCAAAAUGGGUGGUAAAUUUCAUCUAAAGCUAAAUAUUGGCGAGAGACCGAUAGCGAACAAGUACCGUGAGGGAAAGAUGAAAAGAACUUUGAAAAGAGAGUUAAACAGUACGUGAAAUUGUCAAGAGGGAAGCGUUUGACACCAGUGUUGUUUUUCUGAAAAUCAAUUAAAGAACUGUUUAUGCUAAGUUGUUUAGACUUUAUCAGCUAACUGUUUAGUUUUGAGCUUUUCUUUAAUGCACUUUUCAGUUAACAAGUCAACAUCAAUUUCUUUUGCUGUAAAAAAGCUUGAGGAAGGUGGCUUGAGAUUCGUCUUAAGUGUUUAUAGCCUCUUGCCUAUGCAGUCGGAGAGAUUGAGGUCUGCAGCGUAGAUCCUUCGGGGCUAAAUGCAUUUGUGCUAAGUUAUAGCAUUUUAUAGACAACCUUGUUGACUAUGAUUUGUCUUGUAGCUUACUCGCUUAUGUUAUUUUACCUACGCUUAGGAUGUUGAGCGCAUGUCUCUCUCU
RNAcentral lists this ribosomal RNA (775 nucleotides) under uncultured Neocallimastigales. RNAcentral's name for it is "partial large subunit ribosomal RNA". It matches the Rfam family "Eukaryotic large subunit ribosomal RNA", at positions 26 to 616 of the family's 3401-position model. Lineage: Eukaryota; Fungi; Neocallimastigomycota; Neocallimastigomycetes; Neocallimastigales. The record is from RNAcentral.